GCGCGGUUAGUAUAGUGGUCAGUACUCUCGUUUCCCAAACGCCGCUGUCAAGGACCCAAAAGAGGUUAAUCAAACGAGCGGCCCGGGUUCGAUUCCCGGACUGCGCA
Molecule: non-coding RNA, 107 nt
Organism: Neurospora sp. IMI 360204
Lineage: Eukaryota; Fungi; Ascomycota; Sordariomycetes; Sordariales; Sordariaceae
Source: the annotation of a GenBank genome assembly